Molecule: ribosomal RNA, 497 nt
Filed under: uncultured bacterium
Lineage: Bacteria
Description: partial 16S ribosomal RNA
Rfam family: Bacterial small subunit ribosomal RNA
Source: RNAcentral
GAUGAACGCUGGCGGCGUGCCUAAUACAUGCAGGUCGAGCGAACAGACGAGGAGCUUGCUCCUCUGACGUUAGCGGCGGACGGGUGAGUAACACGUGGAUAACCUACCUAUAAGACUGGGAUAACUUCGGGAAACCGGAGCUAAUACCGGAUAAUAUAUUGAACCGCAUGGUUCAAUAGUGAAAGACGGUUUUGCUGUCACUUAUAGAUGGAUCCGCGCCGCAUUAGCUAGUUGGUAAGGUAACGGCUUACCAAGGCAACGAUGCGUAGCCGACCUGAGAGGGUGAUCGGCCACACUGGAACUGAGACACGGUCCAGACUCCUACGGGAGGCAGCAGCAGGGAAUCUUCCGCAAUGGGCGAAAGCUUGACGGAGCAACGCCGCGUGAGUGAUGAAGGUCUUCGGAUCGUAAAACUCUGUUAUUAGGGAAGAACAAAUGCGUAAGUAACUAUGCACGUCUUGACGGUACCUAAUCAGAAAGCCACGGCUAACUACGUG